Molecule: long non-coding RNA, 2141 nt
Organism: Dreissena polymorpha
Lineage: Eukaryota; Metazoa; Mollusca; Bivalvia; Myida; Dreissenidae
Exons: 2
Source: RefSeq, a predicted model, not a curated record
AGGGGUACCCGUGAGCUGCCAGUGACAAACUGCAGCAGACGUGCCCUCAUCUCGUUGUCAUAGCUCUCUGUGGCUUUCCAGAACCACUUGACGAUGUUUGUGUCUGCCGUGCAGUGUUUUAAUCGAGUGUGCAUUUUCCAGUCGUUAAGGUCAAUCUUGCCCAGGCCUCCAAUCAUCAACUGCAGAGCAACACCAGACAUGGUCAGUCGGUGAACAAGGAAUAUACACUAGCCAUGGUCAGUCAGUGAACAAGGAAUAUACACUAGCCAUGGUAAGUAAUGAACAAGGAAUAUACACUAGCCAUGGUCAGUCAGUGAACAAGGAAUAUACACUAGCCAUGGUCAGUAAGUGAACAAGGAAUAUACACUAGCCAUGGUCAGUCGGUGAACAAGGAAUAUACACUAGCCAUGGUCAGUAAGGGAACAAGGAAUAUACACUAGCCAUGGUCAGUAAGUGAACAAGGAAUAUACACUAGCCAUGGUCAGUAAGUGACCAAGGAAUAUACACUAGCCAUGGUCAGUAAGUAAACAAGGAAUAUACACUAGACAUGGUCAGUAAGUGAACAAGGAAUAUACACUAGACAUGGUCAGUAAGUGAACAAGGAAUAUACACUAGCCAUGGGCAGUAAGUGAACAAGGAAUAUAAACUAGACAUGGUCAGUCAGUUAACUAGGAAUAUACACUAGCCAUGGUCAGUAAUUUAACAAGGAAUAUACACUAGGCAUGGUCAGUAAGUGAACAAGGAAUAUACACUAGCCAUGGUCAGUAAGUGAGCAAGGAAUAUACACUAGCCAUGGUCAGUAAGUGAACAAGGAAUAUACACUAGACAUGGUCAGUUAGUGAACAAGGAAUAUACACUAGCCAUGGUCAGUAAGUGAACAAGGAAUAUACACUAGCCAUGGUCAGUAAGUGAACAAGGAAUAUACACUAGCCAUGGUCAGUAAGUGAACAAGGAAUAUACACUAGACAUGGUCAGUAAGUGAACAAGGAAUAUACACUAGCCCUGGUCAGUAAGUGAACAAGGAAUAUACACUAGCCCUGGUCAGUAAGUGAACAAGGAAUAUACACUAGCCCUGGUCAGUAAGUGAACAAGGAAUAUACACUAGCCAUGGUCAGUCAGUGAACAAGGAAUAUACACUAGCCAUGGUCAGUCAGUGAACAAGGAAUAUACACUAGACAUGGUCAGUCAGUGAACAAUGAAUAUACACUAGCCAUGGUCAGUAAGUGAACAAGGAAUAUACACUAGCCAUGGUCAGUAAGUGAACAAGGAAUAUACACUAGCCAUGGUCAGUAAGUGAACAAGGAAUAUACACUAGCCAUGGUCAGUAAGUGAACAAGGAAUAUACACUAUCCAUGGUCAGUAAGUGAACAAGGAAUAUACACUAGCCAUGGUCAGUAAGUGAACAAGGAAUAUACACUAGCCAUGGUCAGUAAGUGAAAAAGGAAUAUACUCUAGCCAUGGUCAGUAAGUGAAAAAGUAAUAUACACUAGCCAUGGUCAGUAAGUGAACAAGGAAUAUACACUAGCCAUGGUCAGUAAGAGAACAAGGAAUAUACACUAGCCAUGGUCAGUAAGUGAACAAGGAAUAUACACUAGCCAUGGUCAGUAAGCGAACAAGGAAUAUACACUAGACAUGGUCAGUAAGUUAACAAGGAAUAUACACUAGCCAUGGUCAGUAAGCGAACAAGGAAUAUACACUAGCCAUGGUCAGUAAGCGAACAAGGAAUACACACUAGCCAUGGUCAGUAAGUGAACAAGGAAUAUACACUUGACAUGGUCAGUAAGUGAACAAGGAAUAUACACUAGCCAUGGUCAGUAAGUGAACAAUGAAUAUACACUAGCCAUGGUCAGUCAGUUGACAAGGAGUAUACAAGAGCCAUGGUCAGUAAGUGAACAAGGAAUAUACACUAGCCAUGGUCAGUAAGUGAACAAGGAAUAUACACUAGCCAUGGUCAGUCAGUGGACAAGGAGUACACAAGAGCCAUGGUCAGUCAGUGAAGAAGGAAAUUAUACAACUGAAAAUCUUCAGGACAACUCAAUAGAUACUGCUCAUUGCAGGAACAUAACUUAAUUUUAAAAUGAAAUCUCAACAAAAUACAUUGUUAUAUCAUGUUUAAUAUACAAAUAAAUAUAUUGAACAUA